CCCUUAGAUGUUCUGGGCCGCACGCGCGCUACACUGACGCAUUCAGCGAGUUUUUCCUGCAUCGAAAGGUGUGGGUAAUCUUUUGAACCUGCGUCGUGAUGGGGAUAGAUUAUUGCAAUUAUUAAUCUUCAACGAGGAAUGCCUAGUAAGCGUGAGUCAUCAGCUCGCGUUGAUUACGUCCCUGCCCUUUGUACACACCGCCCGUCGCUCCUACCGAUUGAAUGGUCCGGUGAAGCGUUCGGACCGUGGCCUUUGGACGGUUCGCCGUCUGUUGGCUGCGGGAAGUUCGUUAAACCUUAUCAUUUAGAGGAAGGAGAAGUCGUAACA
This 327-nucleotide ribosomal RNA is filed under the name uncultured eukaryote. RNAcentral describes it as "partial 18S ribosomal RNA". It matches the Rfam family "Eukaryotic small subunit ribosomal RNA", at positions 1470 to 1796 of the family's 1831-position model. The record is from RNAcentral.